GCGGACGUAGUGCACGGUGCACCACUGCAUUCAAUUAUUAUGGAGAAAUUUGAAUUGCAAGCAGUUGAGGGGUUCGACUCCCCGCGUCCGCC
Mycena vulgaris is the source of this 92-nucleotide non-coding RNA. The record is from the annotation of a GenBank genome assembly. NCBI's taxonomy places the organism in Eukaryota, Fungi, Basidiomycota, Agaricomycetes, Agaricales, Mycenaceae.